GGGGAAUAUUGGGCAAUGGGCGCAAGCCUGACCCAGCAACGCCGCGUGAAGGAAGAAGGCUUUCGGGUUGUAAACUUCUUUUGUCGGGGACGAGUAGAAGACGGUACCUGGCGAAUAAGCCACGGCUAACUACGUGCCAGCAGCCGCGGUAAUACGUAGGUGGCAAGCGUUGUCCGGAUUUACUGGGUGUAAAGGGCGUGUAGCCGGGAAGGCAAGUCAGAUGUGAAAUCCACGGGCUUAACUCGUGAACUGCAUUUGAAACUGUUUUUCUUGAGUAUCGGAGAGGCAAUCGGAAUUCCUAGUGUAGCGGUGAAAUGCGUAGAUAUUAGGAGGAACACCAGUGGCGAAGGCGGAUUGCUGGACGACAACUGACGGUGAGGCGCGAAAGCGUGGGGAGCAAAC
Molecule: ribosomal RNA, 402 nt
Filed under: uncultured bacterium
Lineage: Bacteria
Description: bacterial SSU rRNA
Rfam family: Bacterial small subunit ribosomal RNA
Source: RNAcentral